GGGUUGAUGGCGAAGUUGGUUGUCGCCUGCGUCUCACACACAGAAGGUCCUCAGUUCAAGCCUGGGUCAACUUA
This is a non-coding RNA of Guyanagaster necrorhizus, 74 nucleotides long. Lineage: Eukaryota; Fungi; Basidiomycota; Agaricomycetes; Agaricales; Physalacriaceae. The record is from the annotation of a RefSeq genome assembly.